Vicia faba (fava bean) is the source of this 212-nucleotide non-coding RNA. The record is from the annotation of a GenBank genome assembly. Lineage: Eukaryota; Viridiplantae; Streptophyta; Magnoliopsida; Fabales; Fabaceae.
GGACACGAGUGAACAAAGGAGAGGUUAAACCGCUUACUAGCGGCGAAAGAGCUUCUAUAUCAAAGUUCCACAUCUUUGUGACAAAGACGAUGCUAGUCUUUUCGACGAAUUACCUGUUGGAGGAAUACUAUAGGGACUUUUCUCUCGAGAGAUGGGGCAUAUCCGCUCUUAGCAGCAUUCCUCCUCAGAUGGACAGAGCAGAGCCUUAUUAG